Molecule: ribosomal RNA, 388 nt
Filed under: Atractus roulei (Roule's ground snake)
Lineage: Eukaryota; Metazoa; Chordata; Lepidosauria; Squamata; Dipsadidae
Description: partial large subunit ribosomal RNA
Rfam family: Bacterial large subunit ribosomal RNA
Source: RNAcentral
AACCGUGCAAAGGUAGCGUAAUCAUUUGUCUAUUAAUUGUAGACCAGUAUGAAAGGCAUAAUGAGGGUCUGUCUGUCUCUUAUAAUAAAUCAAUUAAACUGAUCUCCUAGUAAAAAAGCUAGAAUAUACACACAAGACCAGAAGACCCUGUGAAGCUUAAACUAAACUAUUAAACCCUAUAAUACUUACUUUCGGUUGGGGCGACCUUGGAAAAAAAAAGAACUUCCAAAUAUAUGACCAUAACUCAGACAUCGGCCCACAAGCCUAUAUAGACCCAGUACAGCUGACAAUUGAACCAAGUUACUCCAGGGAUAACAGCGCCAUCUUCUUCAAGAGUCCAUAUCAAAAAGAAGGUUUACGACCUCGAUGUUGGAUCAGGACAUCCUAA